GACACACCCUAAUUGUCUUGAAGA
This 24-nucleotide non-coding RNA is filed under the name Arabidopsis thaliana (thale cress). Lineage: Eukaryota; Viridiplantae; Streptophyta; Magnoliopsida; Brassicales; Brassicaceae. The record is from RNAcentral.